This 253-nucleotide ribosomal RNA is filed under the name uncultured bacterium. Its description in RNAcentral is "partial 16S ribosomal RNA". It matches the Rfam family "Bacterial small subunit ribosomal RNA", at positions 524 to 776 of the family's 1533-position model. The record is from RNAcentral.
UACAGAGGUCCCAAGCGUUGUUCGGAUUCACUGGGCGUAAAGAGCGCGCAGGCGGUCGAUCAAGUCGCGUGUGAAAGCCCCCGGCUCAACUGGGGAGGGUCACGCGAUACUGAUCGACUCGAAGGCAGGAGAGGGUAGUGGAAUUCCCGGUGUAGUGGUGAAAUGCGUAGAUAUCGGGAGGAACACCAGUGGCGAAGGCGACUACCUGGCCUGUUCUUGACGCUGAGGCGCGAAAGCUAGGGGAGCAAACGGG